This 424-nucleotide ribosomal RNA is filed under the name Pseudosuccinea columella. RNAcentral describes it as "partial 16S ribosomal RNA". It matches the Rfam family "Bacterial large subunit ribosomal RNA", at positions 1802 to 2622 of the family's 2925-position model. The record is from RNAcentral. Lineage: Eukaryota; Metazoa; Mollusca; Gastropoda; Lymnaeidae.
GUUUUUUCAAAAACAUAGCCCAAAGAUUUAUUUUGGGUAAAUUCUGCCCAGCGUAAUUUAUUAGCGGCCGCAGUACUUUGACUGUGCUAAGGUAGCAUAAUCAAUUGGCUUUUAAUUGUAGUCUGGAAUGAAAGGACUAAUAGGGGUUAGCUGUCUCUAUACUAUUAUUUUGAAUUUAUUUAUUAAGUGAAAAUACUUAUACAAAGAAAAAAGACGAGAAGACCCUUAGAAUUUUAAUAAAAUAUUUAAUAAUUUUUUUUUGUUGGGGCGACAUUGAAACAAUUAAACUUUCAUUAACAAUCAAGACAUUUAGGUUUGAAAGAAUAAAUUACCUUAGGGAUAACAGCAUAAUUAAUUAUUUAGUUUGUGACCUCGAUGUUGGACUAGGAACUAGAAGAUUAACCGUCUAAAUAGAUGUCGUCGA